Medicago truncatula (barrel medic) is the source of this 109-nucleotide microRNA precursor. It matches the Rfam family "MIR2593 microRNA precursor family". The record is from Rfam. NCBI's taxonomy places the organism in Eukaryota, Viridiplantae, Streptophyta, Magnoliopsida, Fabales, Fabaceae.
AUGUAAACAACUUUUUAUUUUUUAGGUUCAUUCAAUAAAUGAUGUAUGUGGUCUGAGACCACAUACAUCAUUUAUUGAAUGAACCUAAAAAAUAAAAAGUUGUUUACAU